Long non-coding RNA from Zeugodacus cucurbitae (melon fly), 585 nucleotides. RefSeq lists it as uncharacterized. The transcript has 4 exons. The record is from RefSeq and is a predicted model, not a curated record. NCBI's taxonomy places the organism in Eukaryota, Metazoa, Arthropoda, Insecta, Diptera, Tephritidae.
UAUGAAAGAAAGUUUACUCUAACCACCGAAGCAUCAAAUGUGGCUCUUGGAGCUGUUUUAAGUCAACAAGGUUUGUUUUGCAAGGCGGACUCUUAAUGAAUGAAUGUUUGGUCAUCAAAAUAUUUUCGACCAUAUUUAUAUGAAGAUUCCGAAUCUAAUAUUCCUAUUUCGGAAAGGCCUUUGAAUAUAUUUAAACGACAACUGAGAUUGAUAAAAAGCAAAAGUAAUUCGAUAUUUUCUACAAGUUAUCAACCGUGGGACCGUCAACUGUAUUUUUGAAGUGAAAACUUCUUAUGGCGCGUUAGGCACUUUUGUGGCUAAGAAUUAAAAAUUAUCGGAAAGCCGGAAAAGUUGGAAAACCUGAAAAAUUGAAAAUAUUCUCAUUUUAUUAGAGAAUUUCACAAGGGACGUGAUUCGAUGGUCGGAAAAUCGUUAAAAAUUAUGGGAAAGCCGGAAAAAUUUGUCUUGAAAAUGGAUGCGUAUGAUUCAAAUAACGGUCGAAAAAGAAAAAACUCGAUAGAUGACUCCACUUAUGAGGAUGAAGUAGAAAAAAGAAAAGAAUAUGAUAAUCGCCACAGAGAGAAA